GGGGAUUUAGCUCAGUGGUAGAGCGCUUGCCUAGGAAGCGCAAGGUCCUGGGUUCAGUCCCUA
This is a non-coding RNA of Rattus norvegicus (Norway rat), 63 nucleotides long. The record is from Rfam. NCBI's taxonomy places the organism in Eukaryota, Metazoa, Chordata, Mammalia, Rodentia, Muridae.